ACAGGUGCUGCAUGGCUGUCGUCAGCUCGUGUCGUGAGAUGUUGGGUUAAGUCCCGCAACGAGCGCAACCCUUGCCUUUAGUUGCCAGCAGUUCGGCUGGGCACUCUAAAGGGACUGCCGGUGUUAAACCGGAGGAAGGUGGGGAUGACGUCAAGUCCUCAUGGCCUUUAUGACCAGGGCUACACACGUACUACAAUGGCCGAUACAAAGGGCAGCGACAUCGCGAGGUGAAGCCAAUCCCAUAAAAUCGGUCUCAGUCCGGAUUGGAGUCUGCAACUCGACUCCAUGAAGUUGGAAUCGCUAGUAAUCGUGGAUCAGCAUGCCACGGUGAAUACGUUCCCGGGCCUU
This 348-nucleotide ribosomal RNA is filed under the name uncultured Desulfobulbus sp. RNAcentral's name for it is "bacterial SSU rRNA". It matches the Rfam family "Bacterial small subunit ribosomal RNA", at positions 1034 to 1382 of the family's 1533-position model. The record is from RNAcentral. Lineage: Bacteria; Pseudomonadati; Thermodesulfobacteriota; Desulfobulbia; Desulfobulbales; Desulfobulbaceae.